UGCACAGGUGACUGGAGGAAACACCUACCUCCAGCUAUGUGCUGGAAAAACAGCGGACCCUUGCUCCAUGCACCAAAACUGGGACAGCACGUAGGUGAGGGGAUAGAGGAGGCUGAACUGGCUAAUGUAGCCCCUCACUGUCAGACAAACUCCAGGCUCCCAGUACCCCUGAGUGGCCAGAGCGACUUCUCCAAGCUACAGAUGCUGAUAGUUGGGACUAUGGAGGGGUAGGAAAAAGUACUUUCCCUUAGCUCCUACAUGCAAAUAUUCCUAUAGCCUGGUUAGCAAGUCUGGCGUUUGACCCCAGUGCCAAGACAGAGCUGGCAGUAUUAGCAGGUGAGAGCUCAACGUCCUCAGCAAUGAAGUAAUAGUUUAAAGAAGUAAUAGUUUAACAGUUUGAAGAGGAGUCUAAGAGUUCAACAUACGUUUCAAGGAAGAUUAAAUUUGGCUCUUACAAAAAACUUGGGCAAUAGGUUGAAUAAAAUUAGAGAUUAUCAUUCUCAUGUAACAGGAAAUUCAGUGGUAGGCAUUUCAGGGCUCGCUUGAUUAUUCAAAGAUCUUAUCCAAAACCCAGGCUCCUUUUAACUUCCUUAUAGCUUUUUGGUUGCAAGAUGGCUAUGAACUUAGGACAAAAACAUCAUGUUAUUGCCCCAGAAUGAAGGAGGAGGCGAGACAAAGGGCAAAAGAUAAAGGGUGAAAAGACUUGUACUUACAUCUUCUUGAUCAGGAUUAUUUCACAGACUUAUGCCACCUUUAGGGGGAAGGAGAGCAGAGAACUCCAGUAUUUAGCUAACAUCUAUCACAUAUAUUACAGAGGAAGAUGGAGGAUUAGGGAGUUGCAAUGAUUGUUGAAUCAGCUGACCACAAGAUAAAGACAGGGAGAGGUCAAACAGAAUAUCAAGCACAGAACAUCAAAGACCACCUGUAACUGUAAGAUGACCAAUAACACAAAAGAGGACCUGAUUAACUCCAAGAAGAUCUAAUGAUCUUGAUUUAUUUAAAGCCAAUGCUUUAUUAAAUGUGCAUGGUAUGCCAUAACAAUAAUUAGUAGCAGUCCACCACAAAGGUGACCUAAGAAGAUCUGAUUUCAUAUUUCCUUCUUGUAAUUUAGAUAACUGUCUUCCCUCCCUAAAUUAUUUCUGCUUAUUCAUCCUCUGUUAAUCUCAUAAUCCUAUGCCAUCUUAAAUACAUCCUAAAUAGCAUCAUACCUUGAGUACUCCAGAAAGCACUCAAAAUUGUUAGGGCAGUAAAAGUUCUGACUUUAACAUGCUUCACAUGCAGUGCUCACAGAUAAAGGGAGUUUGGACACUACAAUAGCAUCAUUAAUCCAGUUACUGAAAAGCUGAGACUAUAUUAUAUCUGCAAGGGUGUAAGUAUAUCUCAUCACAGAGCUAGAUACAGAAAUACAAAGCACACGUGACCAGCGGAUGCUGGAGACUAGUGGGCAUGUCCACUGGAGUGGGGCAAGCACCAUGGUGUAUGUGGGAAGAGGCGGUUACAGGCAAUGUGUGGGAGCCAGCAAGGGCAUCCCAGAGGGCAGUAGUUCUUGAAGUUUGGCUCCUGAAUAAACAAUAUCAGCAACUCCUGGAUAUGGUUAGAAAUGCAAACUUACUCCUGCCUUGGGGUGGGGUUUAAAGGACUCUAGACUCAAUGGAAAAUAAAGUGAGAGCUGAGUAAUUUGUGGUCUCUGAGGUGAGCAGAAGAUGAUAAAAAGGAACUUGAGUAAAACUUCUGAGACUUGGUAAUAGCGACGAAGCCAAAGCUUAAUUGUUCUCUGAGGAACAAAAUGUAGAAAGGGACUGCUAUCAAUGGUGACUUGCAGCCAUUUCCUAGGACCAUAGGAAUAAAUCUCCUUGAAUUUCCCCUAAACAAUCCAGGCAGCAUAUUUGAAUUACUUGGGUUAUUUGGGUUGUUUUAUUUAUUUAUUUAUUUAUUUUGAAACCCAAACCAACCAAAUCAGAAUUUCUGAGGGAGGUUCCCAGGUUUUGGUAAUUUUUGGAAUCUUGCCAAAUGGUUCUAAUGUACACUGCCAAGGUUGAAAACAACUGUGUGAGGAUUCUCUGAGAAUCAGCUACUUUGGUUUGGGGACAUGUAGAGCUAUGGAGACAGGGUGUUAUAGCAAGGAGCUAAAUGACUACUGUUUUGUUCUCACCUGUAAAUUGGAGAGAAUAAUAGCACCUGCCUGGCACAUGCCAGAGAUAAUAUAUAGAGAACACUUGGAGGAGUUUCUGGUUCCAAAUACAUUUUCAGUAAAUGUCUGUGGGUCCUUCUUAUGAUAAUGUAAGCUCCAUAGGAAUGGGGACGAUUGGUGACAUUAACCUGGCACCAAGGGCAUCAGAAAGCAUACAGUCCACAAAGAAUAAAAAUUUGUUAGCUAAACAGAUGGGUAUUUCCACUUUGGGGGGUUAAAAGUACAAGUUAAGUAUAUUUUUUCACCUUCCAUUAUCACAGAGAUGGAAUAAAGACAGAUGAGCUUAAGUUCAUAAAACCUAUUUUCCAUGCUUCUUAAAAAAUUUUUGCCUAGAACUGUGCUGACCAUGCAUAGCCACUAUGCACAUGUGGCUGCUGGACACUUGCAUUGUGGCUAGUCCAUAUUGAAAUGCGCUAGAAGUAUAAAAUACACAAAGGAUUUUAGAGGCUGUGUAGGAAAAAAAGAAUAUAAAAUAUCUGAUUAAAAAUUUUAAAAAUGAUUUUAUUUGAAAUGCUAAUAUUUUGGACAUUGGAUUAAAUAUAAUACAUUAUUAAAAUUGGUCUCCCCUGUUACUUCUCCUUUGUUAUGCAUACGGUGCUAGGAAAAUUUUAAAUCACAUGUGUGGCUUGCACUUUUGGCUCAUCUUGUGUUUCUGUUGGACAGUAUUGGUCUACAAGUGGACAGCACUCUAAAGUUUCUGUUGCAUUUGAUGAUUGUGACACAGGGAACAAUUACUAGGAAGACAAUGAAGUCAGCGAGGCCCUGAUAUUCUGACUCGGAGUGGCCCAGUUCUAACUGUAUCCAAUUAUAAGAAAAGUACAAAGGUAUGAAAACACAGAAAACCAAAGCAGUAGGUUUUAUGAAGUCAGUCGUCUAAUCUUAGCACAUCCCUGACCUUGAAAAUAGUUUUCAUCUGACCUCAGUUGAGUGCCCACGUAGCUAUGGGUGUGUGAUCCAUUCUAGGCCUUUGGCAAGGAAUUAUUGAUUGCGUAUUGUUUCUCUAAAACAUCUAUAUCAACACGGUUACUUUAACAGCUGUGUUUCUUAAUCUGUUUAUAACCAUGGUAAUAUUCUUCAUGAAAUUUGCUUUUCACUAUCUAAAGAUUUUUACUAAAUGACAUUCUGCCAAUAUAUUAGAUGUAUUGAUAUAUUAUCAACAAAACUUCUCCCUUCUGUCCAAGAAUUUAAAGUGCCAGAAACUUUUUCAAUUGAAUCAUUGAUAAAGAUGUGCGUGUUUGUGUGUGUGUGUGUGUGGCACGUGAGUGAAACAGUGUGCCUUGCAUACUGUACAAGAGCAUGAAAAAUAAAAUAGUGCAUUAUCUGAUUCAUUAUUUCCCUGCACUCCUACUUAUUAUUAAAGAUUGUAGGUUUUUAAAUUAGUAUUAAAUUAAUUGAGUGGGAGGACUUUAGAAUCACAGUGUGUUGGAUACUGAUAAAAAAUAAGCUUUGAAAAUGCAUUAUGGAAAGAACCUACUUCUCUUUCCAUCUCUACUUUGUAGGUAACAGGACAUGAAACAAAGUGUUAAUAACAAUUUAAUGCUCAGUAAUGGCAAGAAGAGACAACAUAUCAUUAUCCCGCUGCAAUAGAAUUAUCAUUCAGGAAGACUUUCGUAACGAAGCAUAUAUCCAUCACUCUGUUCGUUUUGUUCAUGGAGGGAAGCCCUAUGCAUGAAACUUGCUGUUAAAGAUCUUUUUAGAUUAAGCAAAUAAUUUGAUGUGCCUUGAAAUAUAAGUGGUGAACUUAGGAACUCAUUUUCUCAGAUGCAAACUAGAAAUCUAUGCUUUUAAACUAAAAAGUAAAAUGAAAUAACUUCCUGGCCUGGUAUCCUGCAAGAUACACUCUCGAUUAACCCAUUUUUAAAUUGGCUCUAUUUUCUUAUAGCACACUUUUCAAUUUUAGUCAAGUCUUAUUGACCAUCCCUUCUCUGCUUGCUCUAAGGAAUUUGGAUUUUAUGCCAAGAUCAAAAAGAGUUCCAUAAAAAUUUCACAUGACCACAAUGGGGAGAGAGUGAAACUAGGACCCAGGUGAGACCCUAAACUUAUAAUGCUGUAGGUGGGACAGAGAAAAGGGACAGAUUCUAUAAAUAUUAAAAAAUAUAACUAUUUUCUAUUUCUACCAGUAUGGAAGACUGGAUAUUCUGAAAAACCAUACCGCAAAAGAUAACUAAUAAUCUAGGCAAAAUUUUUGAAAAGUAAGAUCAAAUUUUAGUAUAUAAGUGAUGUGGUAAAAACAACAACAACAAGUUAGACUCAACAGAGGCCAAAAAAUGAGGUGAAAUCUAGAACUCUGGGAGGUAAGCUAGUGCCUACCUUACUCUGAUGAUAUCUGCCAAACCCUGUGACCUUGAGUUUUAGUUUCAAUAGUGGGAGCAUGUGUGAGGGACUCAACAUACAGCCUACAUCCAGAAACAAAUGUGGAAUCGAAUACAACUCCCCUACAGAAAGCUGGGGCCCCAAGAUUCCAUGGACAGUGUCAGGCCGCCCAGCAGAAGUGACCAGCAGAAGGGACCAACCUCUCUUGAUCAUACUGCUGGAAAAAUAUCGAAAAAUUCUCCCUUGAGAUGUCACAGUGCAAUCCUUCCAUUGUGUGAGGCUGUUGCACAAAUUCAUGCCAACUCAUGCAAAGAGAAUCCAGAUUAGUGGUUCUCCUGGGAAUAAGGAGAAAUAAACUAGGGUCCCCUUUAGAGAAUGCACUUCAACCUGGUGUCAAAGAAUUCUAUAAACAGCACAUUCCAAAGAACGUAAGUUCAGAUUUAAAGUUAUAACAAAAAAACAAACCCUUGUAUGUCUCCAUAUAAGUGUCAGUAAAAACAACAGAAACCCAUGAAAAUGUGUAAACUGUAAGAGUAAAAUUUAAAUAUCAUUAAUAGAUUGGAAUGAAUAAAAGAGACAUUUAGACGGAUG
RNAcentral lists this long non-coding RNA (5095 nucleotides) under Sus scrofa (pig). RNAcentral describes it as "lncRNA (ENSSSCG00000055186.1)". Lineage: Eukaryota; Metazoa; Chordata; Mammalia; Artiodactyla; Suidae. The record is from RNAcentral.